This 73-nucleotide transfer RNA is filed under the name Tepidibacillus fermentans. It matches the Rfam family "tRNA". Rfam says of the family: Transfer RNA (tRNA) molecules are approximately 80 nucleotides in length. The record is from Rfam by way of RNAcentral. Lineage: Bacteria; Bacillati; Bacillota; Bacilli; Caryophanales; Bacillaceae.
GCCGUCGUAGCUCAGUUGGUAGAGCGGCUCACUCGUAAUGAGCAGGUCGUGGGUUCGAGUCCCAUCGUCGGCU